AAACACAAGGUCGACGUUACCAGCCCCUCCCCACCUCCUCCCACAGCCACCACCGACAGCUCGCACGAUCCCCCGUAUCACAAGGAAGUGCCGCACCUAUUCUGACGGCGUGCUCGUAUGCGUGUGUCUGCGUGGUGGUCUGUGGGCACGCCGUUCUGCACUUGGAAACAGGCUUUGCACAGCAUCUCGUCGACGUGGAGCUAAACUCGCCUUAGCUGAACCAGCAGAACCGCAUGGACGCGUGUCGUGCGCUUGUCGCGCUCAGUGGGCAAGUGCGCAGUGCGGUUUACUUUUUAUUCGCUUCCUGCUCUUGCCGAGCUGCGCAGACGCGAGCAUGCUAAGAGCGUGUGGUGGAUGCAUUCACGUUCUCCCCUAACACACACUCUGCACCCUCUCUCUCCCUCCCUACACCCCACCGUAUCUUGUACUCUUUUGGUGAUUCAUCGCCGAGUCACACGUCGUCGGCCAAUACGCACUCCUGAGUUCCUUUUAAAUAUAAAUAUAUAUAUAUAUAUUGCAUUCUCGCGUUCAUUUCACCACGCAAUCAAAAAUACUCUCGCCCCUCUCCUCUUCCCCCAACACACACAACAUAAG
This 594-nucleotide unclassified non-coding RNA is filed under the name Leishmania donovani. RNAcentral describes it as "gene:unknown". Lineage: Eukaryota; Euglenozoa; Kinetoplastea; Trypanosomatida; Trypanosomatidae. The record is from RNAcentral.